This 429-nucleotide ribosomal RNA is filed under the name Chloroflexota bacterium. RNAcentral's name for it is "Chloroflexi bacterium partial 16S ribosomal RNA". It matches the Rfam family "Bacterial small subunit ribosomal RNA", at positions 355 to 776 of the family's 1533-position model. The record is from RNAcentral. Lineage: Bacteria; Bacillati; Chloroflexota.
UGGGGAAUAUUGCACAAUGGGCGCAAGCCUGAUGCAGCCAUGCCGCGUGUAUGAAGAAGGCCUUCGGGUUGUAAAGUACUUUCAGUCGGGAGGAAGGUGUCAAGGUUAAUAACCUUGGCAAUUGACGUUACCGACAGAAGAAGCACCGGCUAACUCCGUGCCAGCAGCCGCGGUAAUACGGAGGGUGCAAGCGUUAAUCGGAAUUACUGGGCGUAAAGCGCACGCAGGCGGUUGAUUGAGUCAGAUGUGAAAUCCCCGGGCUUAACCCGGGAAUUGCAUCUGAUACUGGUCAGCUAGAGUCUUGUAGAGGGGGGUAGAAUUCCAUGUGUAGCGAUGAAAUGCGUAGAGAUCUGGAGGAAUACCGGUGGCGAAGGCGGCCCCCUGGACAAAGACUGACGCUCAGGUGCGAAAGCGUGGGGAGCAAACAGG